Molecule: ribosomal RNA, 253 nt
Filed under: uncultured bacterium
Lineage: Bacteria
Description: partial 16S ribosomal RNA
Rfam family: Bacterial small subunit ribosomal RNA
Source: RNAcentral
UACAGGGGGUGCAAACGUUGCUCGGAAUUAUUGGGCGUAAAGCGCGCGUAGGCGGCUACUUAAGUCGGAUGUGAAAGCCCCUGGCUCAACUGGGGAAGUGCACCCGAAACUGAGUAGCUAGAGUACGAAAGAGGGUCGCGGAAUUCCCGGUGUAGAGGUGAAAUUCGUAGAUAUCGGGAGGAACACCGGUGGCGAAGGCGGCGACCUGGGUCGAUACUGACGCUGAGGCGCGAAAGCGUGGGGAGCAAACAGG